AGAGUUUGAUCCUGGCUCAGGACGAACGACUGGCGGCGCGCCUAACACAUGCAAGUCGAACGAGAGAUGAAGAGCUUGCUCUUCAAAUCGAGUGGCGAACGGGUGAGUAACGCGUGAGGAACCUGCCUCAAAGAGGGGGACGAACAGUUGGAAACGACUGCUAAUACCGCAUAAGCCCACGGCUCGGCAUCGAGCAGAGGGAAAAGGAGCAAUCCGCUUUGAGAUGGCCUCGCGUCCGAUUAGCUAGUUGGUGAGGUAAUGGCCCACCAAGGCGACGAUCGGUAGCCGGACUGAGAGGUUGAACGGCCACAUUGGGACUGAGACACGGCCCAGACUCCUACGGGAGGCAGCA
Molecule: ribosomal RNA, 352 nt
Filed under: uncultured bacterium
Lineage: Bacteria
Description: bacterial SSU rRNA
Rfam family: Bacterial small subunit ribosomal RNA
Source: RNAcentral